UUUGAAAGGGAUUGAAGACGAAUAAAGCUCCUUCUCUUUUGUCCAAAAUUAUCAAACACCCUUGUGAAGAUCCAAUGCAAUUAUGAUCAUAACCCCACAAGUUAUUCAACUCGUAAUGGCCUAAUUUCUUUUCAAGAUUGAAAAAACAACACCCAUUAUUGCUAUUUUCAUCAUCAUAGUAUUCUCGGUGAUCUGUAGGAACCAUUAAUAAUGGUGGUUGAAGCUGUGAAAAAGAAGAGAAGAGACGAGAUUUUGAAACAGAGGAUUCCCAAGAACGGCAGACGUGUUUGAGACGGAACAUGUCAAGAAAGGACAAUCUCUUUAGGACGGAUUCUAAAAGAUCGGUGGGAAGUUUGGUCCAAUUUGAUGAAGGUGAUGAAAGUAGUCUUCUUUUUUUGGUGGACAUUUUUAUGAAAAGAAGAGGGUUUAAGGGGUUUAAUUCAGAAGGGUUUAUCAAGAAACCUAUAGAUGAUAUUGAAAUGGGGAUCUAUAGGCUAUAGUAUUACAUAUAUAUAUAUAUAUGGUGGCGAUUAGGGUAUAUGUCCUAGUUCGUACAGGAUUAGGAGGGUAUAUGACGAUCCUAGUUCGAACAGGACUAGGAAAUUACCUUGAACUUGAAGAGAAGAUUAAUUUAUCUCCAAGUAAGCUGGCUAUAUAUGGUCUUUUUUCCUAUUCUUUUAAUAUAUAUAUACUAAUAAAUAAUUUAUGUAUUUUCUUCUUAACUAAGAGCCCGUUUGGGGGAGCUUUAAUUUAGAUGGAUUAAAAAUACUUUCAAGUUAAAAAUAAAAAUAGUUCAGUUUUUGAUAACUCUCCGAAGAUUUGAGUUGAAAACACACUUAUAGCUGAAACAAAAAAUAUGUUUUCUCCAAUCCCCAUCACAGAAUCUAAAAAAUAAAAAUACAAAAAUAUAAAAAAAAUUCCUUCCAGAGAGGCAAAGUAACUUAGAGCUCCUAUUCUUAUAUAUUCUCUCCUUUUUGUGCCAUACUCCAUAACACAUCUACUUUGUUCCUUUUUUAUCUUUAGAAGAAGAAUGGGUUUGGUUGUAGUGAUCUCCCUGCCAUUGAUUCUGCUUUCUUUACUUGUUGGAUUUGGGUGUUACUUCCUGGGAAGAGCUAAUGGCCGGCGAGACGACGUCACCACAAGUGCUCAAGUUUUUGGAGUGCCAACACCACCACCCGGAAGCUCUGCUCCUGCUCAGGCUCGGAAAAUUAAUAUAUGAUUAUCAUCAUAAAUAAAUAAGGCUGCUUCUUCUAUAUUAUUAUGUCUUGUUGCUCUGUUAUGCAAAUUUUGUUUGGGUCAUGUAAAUUGGUGAUAUUGUGAAUUGAACAAAGAUGAUUUUAAGAUUCUUAUAUCAUUCUCUCCUCAUAUAAAGUUUCAGAUAUGGUUUAAGUUGA
Molecule: long non-coding RNA, 1394 nt
Filed under: Panax ginseng (ginseng)
Lineage: Eukaryota; Viridiplantae; Streptophyta; Magnoliopsida; Apiales; Araliaceae
Description: long non-coding RNA (PGIN_LNC015338)
Source: RNAcentral